UACCUGGUUGAUCCUGCCAGUAGUCAUAUGCUUGUCUCAAAGAUUAAGCCAUGCAAGUCUAAGUACGAGCUCUCGUACAGUGAAACUGCGAAUGGCUCAUUAAAUCAGUUAUGGUUCAUUUGAUCGUACAGUUUACUUGGAUAACUGUGGUAAUUCUAGAGCUAAUACAUGCGAGAAGCGCCGACCUCGCGGGAGGCGUGCAUUUAUCAGACCAAAAACCGGCCGCGUCUUCGGGCGCGUUCGCCUUGGUGACUCUGGAUAACUUUGCGGAUCGCACGGUCUAGCACCGGCGACGGAUCAUUCAAGUGUCUGCCCUAUCAACUUUCGUCGGUACGGUAUUUGCCUACCGAGGUUCUUACGGGUGACGGGGAAUCAGGGUUCGAUUCCGGAGAGAAGCCUAAAGAAACGGCUACCACAUCCAAGGAAGGCAGCAGGCGCGCAAAUUACCCAUUCCCGACGCGGGGAGGUAGUGACGAAAAAUAACAAUGCAGGACUCGUUCGAGGCCCUGUAAUUGGAAUGAGUACACUUUAAAAGCUUUAACGAGUAUCCAUUGGAGGGCAAGUCUGGUGCCAGCAGCCGCGGUAAUUCCAGCUCCAAAAGUAUAUAUUUAAGUUGUUGCGGUUAAAAAGCUCGUAGUUGGAUUUUGGGCGCAGGCGGCCGGUCCGUCGCAAGGCGUGUACUGGACGUCCUGGCCUUCCCUCCGGUUCUCCGCCGGUGCUCUUGACUGAGUGUCGGCGGCGGCCGGAACGUUUACUUUGAAAAAAUUAGAGUGUUCAAAGCAGGCUCUCGAGCCUGGAUAAUGGUGCAUGGAAUAAUGGAAUAGGACCUCGGUUCUAUUUUGUUGGUUUUCGGAGCGCGAGGUAAUGAUUAAGAGGGACAGACGGGGGCAUUCGUACUGUGCCGUUAGAGGUGAAAUUCUUGGAUCGGCGCAAGACGAACGACUGCGAAAGCAUUUGCCAAGAAUGUUUUCUUUAAUCAAGAGCGAAAGUCAGAGGUUCGAAGACGAUCAGAUACCGUCCUAGUUCUGACUAUAAACGAUGCCAACUAGCGAUCG
This is a non-coding RNA of Ciona savignyi (Pacific transparent sea squirt), 1055 nucleotides long. The record is from Rfam. Lineage: Eukaryota; Metazoa; Chordata; Ascidiacea; Phlebobranchia; Cionidae.